RNAcentral lists this transfer RNA (47 nucleotides) under Microtus obscurus (Altai voie). Its description in RNAcentral is "partial tRNA-Thr". Lineage: Eukaryota; Metazoa; Chordata; Mammalia; Rodentia; Cricetidae. The record is from RNAcentral.
CUGGUCUUGUAAACCAGUAAUGAAAAAANNCCUAUUUUCUCAGGACA